Molecule: ribosomal RNA, 253 nt
Filed under: uncultured bacterium
Lineage: Bacteria
Description: partial 16S ribosomal RNA
Rfam family: Bacterial small subunit ribosomal RNA
Source: RNAcentral
UACGAAGGGGGCUAGCGUUGCUCGGAAUUACUGGGCGUAAAGGGCGCGUAGGCGGCGCUGCUAGUCAGGCGUGAAAUUCCUGGGCUUAACCUGGGGGCUGCGUUUGAUACGGCAGUGCUAGAGGACGGAAGAGGGUCGUGGAAUUCCCAGUGUAGAGGUGAAAUUCGUAGAUAUUGGGAAGAACACCGGUGGCGAAGGCGGCGACCUGGUCCGUUACUGACGCUGAGGCGCGACAGCGUGGGGAGCAAACAGG